RNAcentral lists this ribosomal RNA (564 nucleotides) under Triticum aestivum (bread wheat). RNAcentral's name for it is "partial small subunit ribosomal RNA". Lineage: Eukaryota; Viridiplantae; Streptophyta; Magnoliopsida; Poales; Poaceae. The record is from RNAcentral.
AUGAAUGACCGCAAUUCUGUCACUUGGGGUGCUAUGAUUGGAGGCUAUGGUAUGCAGGGCGAUUCUGCUGGCUCGAUUGACCUUUUUAAUGAAAUGCUGAAGGACAAUAUCCAACCAAAUGAAGUAGUCUUCACAAGUGUCCUUUCCACUUGCAGCCACACUGGAAUGGUUACUGUAGGAAAGAAGUGUUUCGAGAGCAUGGCAAAGUAUUUCAACAUCACUCCUUCUAUGAAGCAUUAUGCAUGUAUGGUUGAUGUGCUGGCCCGUGCCGGAAAUCUGGAGGAGGCAUUGGAGUUCAUACAGAAGAUGCCAAUGCAAGCAGACAUUAGUGUCUGGGGAGCUUUUCUCCAUGGGUGCAAGCUCCAUUCCAGGUUAGAGUUUGGAGAAGAAGCUAUCAAUAGGAUGAUGGUUCUUCAUCCUGACACGCCAGAUUUUUAUGUGCUCAUGUCCAACUUGUAUACCUCAUACGGGAGGUGGGACAAGUCAAUUGCUAUCAGGAGAUCGAUGCAGGAAAGAGGACUAGUCAAGCUACCCGGGUGCAGCUCUGUGGGACUUGAAAAUGGA